RNAcentral lists this long non-coding RNA (2541 nucleotides) under Capsicum annuum. RNAcentral describes it as "long non-coding RNA (CANN_LNC014484)". Lineage: Eukaryota; Viridiplantae; Streptophyta; Magnoliopsida; Solanales; Solanaceae. The record is from RNAcentral.
AGAAUCUGGCUGGUGACAUUAUUGGAACAAGGACUGAAGUUGCUGAUGUGAAAUCCACACCUUUCCAGCCUUACAGUGAGGUGUUUGGACUAGAGAGGUUCAGAGAAUGUGAACUGAUCCAUGGAAGAUGGGCUAUGUUGGCUACUCUUGGUGCACUCACUGUUGAAUGGCUCACUGGUAUUACCUGGCAAGAUGCUGGAAAGGUACUACACACUUACCUCUCAGUUCAAUUUAUAUGAAAAUUCAAUUUAUAUGAUACUUUUCAGUAUAAAGUAUUUUCUAUGUCUUGAUUUAUGUGAUAUUUGUUGAGAAUAAUGUGAAGCAGUAAAUAGAAUUAGUUAGGAGUUGUAACAGAAUUAGUUAGGAGUUGUAAGUUCAUGAGUAAGUGGAGCGUACCUAACUUAUGUAUAUAUAGUUGAGUAGGCAUUACCUGUAACUAACUCAAAUAUUUUUUGUUCAAUAUCAAUUUUCUCUCUUUCUGUGAGUUCUCUCUCUUCCUCAAUGUACUGUUCCAUUGAACUUGAUCUCCAUUACUACGAUUUCAUCAUGAUAUUAGAGUUAGGCCCACCAGUUCAUUGUUUCGAUGUUGGCCCCCUUUCUUAUAUUGUUCACGCUCCAUGUCCAGUCCUGGGCGUGCGGGGUGUUGGAGUCCCACUAGGUUAAAAGGAUCCUUGAGCUCCUAAUAUGUCCUUGGGCAAUUCUUCUCUCAUGAGCUAGCUUUUGAGGUUGAGUUAGGUUCAAAGUCCAUUUCUUUAUCAAUAUUGUCUGACUUAUACAAAGCUUAUGGAAAAACGGAAGAUCUUUUAAAUUUAUUAGCUAAAAUACUCCUCAAUCAACUAUUACAUUCUUUUUUAGAUGGACUAGAAAAAGUAUUUUACAUAAAUUGAGAUAUAGCGAAUAUAAAUUAGAACGUUACUUUCUUUAAGUAAAUCUUAUUCCAUGUUAAUGCAUAUAUACUUCAUGAUACACGUAGUGGUGCUGCAUUCCUCUGAAUUAUAUAACCUCUAUGUAGUGGAAUGUUUCAAUAUACUUUUAUGUGAAAUUUAUGUUGAGCUUCACAGAAGAAUAAUAGCGUAGUGAUAAUUGGACACCAUUUAUCGAAAUCUUGGAUCCGUACUUUAUUUUCAACUUCAAUUCCACAAGUCAUCAUUGCAUUUAUUCAUGCUUCAUAUUUUGUUGUUUCCUCAUGUCAAUUUUGUUGUUUCCUCAUGUCAAUUUUGUUGUUUUUCUUCCCUUUCAUACCCUUCUUCCACUUGCUUGCCCACCACAUGUAAAUUAGAUUUUCAUUUAACUUGUUCAAUUAGAACAAUUCAAACAAAAUUUUAUUACUUAUUUUUAAUAUAAACUUAUUAUUAAUUAUAAUCAUUUACUAAUGUGUUUUUCAAUAUUAAAUUCAUUAUAUUUAAAGAGUGAUAUAAUAAAAUUAUUAUUUUAUUUAUUACAUAUUUACCAAGUUAAUACUGCACAAGUAUAAUGGAGAGAGUAAUUUCAUCGGGAUAAGAUUGGCAAUUAUUGUCACUCGUUUUGGUUGCUUUUUACUAUUUAUUGCUUCACUGUGAACAAAUAAUUAAAAUGAAGGUAUAAUUUAAAUAAAGUUUGAUGCCUGAAUAGUAGGUUAAAGCGCGUGUAUUUUGCUUGUGAUUAUUCAUUUCUCACUGUCCAUGGUUGCCCUAGUUUUCAAAUUUGUAACUUUAUUAUGUUGCUAGAUAAGGAAGUACAAAUCUAUAGUGCUAGCUAUUGGAAUACAUAAUUAGACAUUGUCAAUUUAGUACAAGCUUUUAUAGGUUAGAAAUUGCUACUUAAGAAGCAACAAAUACUUAUCUGCACUAGAGAGUUAUAUCGAACAAUAUUAAUUUGUUAUAGCUAAAAGAUUUAAUAAGGUGAGAAUAUAUAUUGGUUAAUUAUGAUUAAAUUAUAAAAAUUUAUGUGCACGCAUAUAUAAUACUAGCAAAAGUUGGCUUGAUAUAAACAUAGAGUAAGAAUAAAUUUUACAAUCUAAUUUGUGAAACUCUCUUUAUUGGAUUUACAUAGGUUGAGUUGGUUGAUUAUGAAUAUUGUUGGACUUGCAUAGCUUGAGUUGGUUGUUUUUGGUUUGAGUAUGAAUAAAGUGUUAGAAACUCUUUAUUGAUUUGAUAUAAUAUCGAGUAUGCAUAAGUUUUAUGGUCUUAUUUGUGAUACUCUUUGUUGGAUUUGGAUAGGUUGAGUUGGUUGAGGGAUCAUCCUACUUGGGACAGCCACUCCCAUUCUCCAUUACAACAUUGAUCUGGAUUGAGGUACUUGUCAUUGGAUACAUUGAAUUCCAAAGGAACGCUGAGCUUGACCCUGAAAAAAGGCUUUACCCUGGUGGAUCAUACUUCGACCCAUUGGGCCUUGCUGCUGAUCCUGAGAAAAAGGCCACACUUCAACUUGCUGAAAUCAAGCAUGCCCGUCUUGCCAUGGUUGCUUUCUUGGGCUUUGCCGUCCAAGCUGCUGCUACCGGAAAAGGUCCACUUAACAACUGGGCUACCCACUUGAGUGACCCGCUUCACACUACCAUUUUCG